Molecule: ribosomal RNA, 521 nt
Filed under: uncultured bacterium
Lineage: Bacteria
Description: bacterial SSU rRNA
Rfam family: Bacterial small subunit ribosomal RNA
Source: RNAcentral
AGGGUUCGAUUCUGGCUCAGGAUGAACGCUAGCUACAGGCUUAACACAUGCAAGUCGAGGGGCAGCAUGACGAUAGCUUGCUAUUGUUGAUGGCGACCGGCGCACGGGUGAGUAACGCGUAUCCAACCUUCCCUAUAGUAGAGGAUAGCCCGGCGAAAGUCGGAUUAAUACUCUAUGUUUUCCAAUGCAGACAUCUAAGUUGGAAUAAAGGUUCACCGCUAUAGGAUGGGGAUGCGUCUGAUUAGGUAGUCGGCGGGGUAACGGCCCACCGAGCCUACGAUCAGUAGGGUUCUGAGAGGAAGGUCCCCCACAUUGGAACUGAGACACGGUCCAAGCUCCUACGGGAGGCAGCAGUGAGGAAUAUUGGUCAAUGGGCGAGAGCCUGAACCAGCCAAGUAGCCGUGCAGGAUGACGGCCCUAUGGGUUGUAAACUGCUUUUAUACGGGGAUAAAGUGAGGGACGUGUCCCUUUUUGUAGGUACCGUAUGAAUAAGGACCGGCUAAUUCCGUGCCAGCAGCAGC